RNAcentral lists this ribosomal RNA (427 nucleotides) under uncultured bacterium. RNAcentral's name for it is "partial 16S ribosomal RNA". It matches the Rfam family "Bacterial small subunit ribosomal RNA", at positions 355 to 774 of the family's 1533-position model. The record is from RNAcentral.
UGGGGAAUAUUGCACAAUGGGCGCAAGCCUGAUGCAGCCAUGCCGCGUGUGUGAAGAAGGCCUUCGGGUUGUAAAGCACUUUCAGCGAGGAGGAAGGGUAGUGUGUUAAUAGCACAUUGCAUUGACGUUACUCGCAGAAGAAGCACCGGCUAACUCCGUGCCAGCAGCCGCGGUAAUACGGAGGGUGCACGCGUUAAUCGGAAUUACUGGGCGUAAAGCGCACGCAGGCGGUUUGUUAAGUCAGAUGUGAAAUCCCCGCGCUUAAUGUGGGAACUGCAUUUGAAACUGGCAAGCUAGAGUCUUGUAGAGGGGGGUAGAAUUCCAGGUGUAGCGGUGAAAUGCGUAGAGAUCUGGAGGAAUACCGGUGGCGAAGGCGGCCCCCUGGACAAAGACUGACGCUCAGGUGCGAAAGCGUGGGGAGCAAACA